GGUCGCGUGGCCGAGUGGCUAGGCAGCGGUCUGCAAAACCGUCUACGGCGGUUCGAAUCCGCCCGUGACCU
RNAcentral lists this transfer RNA (71 nucleotides) under Bacteroidales bacterium. RNAcentral describes it as "tRNA-Cys". It matches the Rfam family "tRNA". Rfam says of the family: Transfer RNA (tRNA) molecules are approximately 80 nucleotides in length. Lineage: Bacteria; Pseudomonadati; Bacteroidota; Bacteroidia; Bacteroidales. The record is from RNAcentral.